UGGCCCCCAAGCUGAGAACCGGGAGCCGGAGGAAAUCAUAGCGAAAUCUCAACCUGAUGUAGCCCCAUCAGCAUCACACACACACUCAGAGCAAAAUGGCCUGCUCUUCAAUGUAGCUUAGUUUAGUUCAAUUGUCCUGCCCACCCCCUCCUGACCCUCCUGCCGCUGAGGGGUGGUAUUUGAAAGAACAGCUUCUUUCCUCUCUUCUCCUUGGGACAGCAACAGCACAGAGAGUGGGCCGCCAUCUCUUACUGCCCACUCAACCGUUGCUGGGGACUGAUUCUUUCAGCUCUACAUAGAAUUCAAGAACUAUAUUUGGAUCUGCUUCAGAGCAGUAAUCCCCACAGCCUUAAAACAUGCAAAAUAAAAAUAAAUUAAUCAUCCAUCAGCA
RNAcentral lists this long non-coding RNA (391 nucleotides) under Homo sapiens (human). RNAcentral describes it as "non-protein coding LINC01718:15". The record is from RNAcentral. Lineage: Eukaryota; Metazoa; Chordata; Mammalia; Primates; Hominidae.